This 497-nucleotide ribosomal RNA is filed under the name uncultured bacterium. Its description in RNAcentral is "partial 16S ribosomal RNA". It matches the Rfam family "Bacterial small subunit ribosomal RNA", at positions 28 to 507 of the family's 1533-position model. The record is from RNAcentral.
GAGGAAAGAGGAGGGCGUGCCUAAUACAUGCAAGUCGAGCGAACGGACGAGAAGCUUGCUUCUCUGAUGUUAGCGGCGGACGGGUGAGUAACACGUGGAUAACCUACCUAUAAGACUGGGAUAACUUCGGGAAACCGGAGCUAAUACCGGAUAAUAUUUUGAACCGCAUGGUUCAAAAGUGAAAGACGGUCUUGCUGUCACUUAUAGAUGGAUCCGCGCUGCAUUAGCUAGUCGGUAAGGUAACGGCUUACCAAGGCAACGAUGCAUAGCCGACCUGAGAGGGUGAUCGGCCACACUGGAACUGAGACACGGUCCAGACUCCUACGGGAGGCAGCAGUAGGGAAUCUUCCGCAAUGGGCGAAAGCCUGACGGAGCAACGCCGCGUGAGUGAUGAAGGUCUUCGGAUCGUAAAACUCUGUUAUUAGGGAAGAACAUAUGUGUAAGUAACUGUGCACAUCUUGACGGUACCUAAUCAGAAAGCCACGGCUAACUACGUG